UCUCCAGUACUGACACGCUUGACUUUACCAGCAAUCGAGUUGUAUGUACCGCUAAUAAAACCUUUGACCUUGAACUCAAUGUCGGCCUGUAGAUCGGUUUUGGGACAGCGGACGGUGACAUGAUCACCCAGUUCGAGUCGCAUCUUUCCAAAAAGGAUACCACGCGCAUACACGUUGGGCUGGGUAAUCAAGUACUCUUCAUCCAAGUCUUGUAAUUUGAUACUGGCAAUACCUUCCAUAAUACUGGCCGCCGAGUUUCCAAGAAAACGAGAACGAGGCUUUACCACACCAUCGAUCCGCACCUUGUACUCUGGGCAUAGG
Non-coding RNA from Schizosaccharomyces pombe (fission yeast), 321 nucleotides. The record is from the annotation of a GenBank genome assembly. NCBI's taxonomy places the organism in Eukaryota, Fungi, Ascomycota, Schizosaccharomycetes, Schizosaccharomycetales, Schizosaccharomycetaceae.